Molecule: non-coding RNA, 1289 nt
Organism: Lolium perenne
Lineage: Eukaryota; Viridiplantae; Streptophyta; Magnoliopsida; Poales; Poaceae
Source: RefSeq, a predicted model, not a curated record
UCCCGUCUCUCACCAUUCAUCGUCUCUGGCUCUCAGAUCGGGGUGGUCUCUCACAGGCGAUCCUCAUGUUGCUGUCGGGGUGAGCGGUACUGCGGUAGGACGGCAGGGGCCAAGUAGGUAUGAGCUAGUCGUGUUGGUGUUGUUUGUUGUUGCUGUGCACGAUAUGUUGUUCUCGGCUGCAGGCAAGCGCGGACGGGAACUGAUGUGGCGGCGCGCGACCCAAGAGGGGAUCCGCCCUAACGGUGGUGUGGCCAGCAUGGGCGGCGACGGAGGGCACCUGGCUGGCGAGGGUAGGAGCGGCGGCGGCGGCGUUCGCUUCCAACCUUGAUCUCGUUGGGUACGGGGUUGUUCGGCGACGGGGGACCUGGGUAGCUAUUGGCCGCCGGAGCUAAGCGAGGAAAGAGAGGGCGGCGGCGGCGCAACUUCUCAUCUCCGGCAUAGGCCAUUGGGCAUGCGCCACUCUGAUUUUUGUUGCUGCAUCCAUUGCCACAUUUGUCAUGGGCCAAGCAGUACAGGCAAGAUACGUUCGAACCAUAUGAUGUUUCGUGGAACGGUAUUGUUGGCACUUUGGGCUACCUGGAUGUUGGCCAGAAGGGUUUGGAUGAAGAUAGGUUGUCACCGUGAACGAAUACGCAUGUGAACAAAAUGUUUGCUUUGUGACAUUUGCUCUUGUAUUAUUCAUGUUUUCUGGUGAUUUGGAAGUGCUGGUUUGGCAGCUAUUUGCUGGGCCAUUUGGAAACUUAGAAAUAGAGCCUGCUUUGAAAAAAAAAAAUCAGCUCUCCUUAUGACAUAAUCAGUUAUGCUGCUGUGUUUAUGAACUAUUGGUCAGGUCUACAUGGUGAUCAAGAUGCCUCUAAGCUCCGAGCUAGUGCCGAUGGUCUUCUACGCCUUGCUGCUGCGGCUGGAGCUGGAAACUCUCCCUCUAGAAGUACUGGACGUGUUGAUCAACUUCGCUUGGAAGACAAGAAACCUGAUGGCACACAUGAUGACACCACCUCCUGAUGUCGUGUUAAAGAUCGGCUUCGCCUGUUCUAGUUUCUGCUUUAUGAUGCUUCGUUCUUUUGUGUUGCCCUAUAUCCUCUUGCUGUUGGCAAGGGUUUUGCUAUGCUCAAAACUUAUUCUGGUUAUGUAAUAGCUUUUCUGAACGUUAGCAUUAGGCGGCGAUCUCUCCCCAUCCCUUUGCUUUUCCUUUAAGACAUAACUGUGAUGUAUUUUCGUUAUCUCCCCUGGUAAUGAAAAUUCGAUCCCCUGGUGGAUCGUUUGGAAAAAAAAAGACGGGAUUUGAACAA